Molecule: long non-coding RNA, 6058 nt
Filed under: Lactuca sativa (garden lettuce)
Lineage: Eukaryota; Viridiplantae; Streptophyta; Magnoliopsida; Asterales; Asteraceae
Description: long non-coding RNA (LSAT_LNC009604)
Source: RNAcentral
UGGUUCUUUUUCGGGAAAUGGGUUUUAUCUAAGAAGGUUUCGGACUGGUGUAUGUUGAUAGAAGCAUAGGGUUUCUCGUCACCCUCGUGUGAAUGUAAAGUCUAUUGGGAGCGGGUUUAGAGUAGAGGAGUUGCGGGGUCUUGGAAAUGAUAUUGUUUAUAGCUCUUUGUGGAAAAAGUGGAAAAGGUCCCAUGCAUGCAUGGCAUGCAUGCUUGAAGUUGGCUGGGUACGCCCAGCGUAAUGGAGGAAAGAAAUGCGAGGUGGCAAGGUGAGUACGCCCAACGUACUAGAGGUACGCCCAGCGUACAUCUAUCAUCCAGAAACCCUAAUAUUUUGGGUGUGGAGGCUAUUUAAACAACUUUAAGAGCUCAUAACCCUCCCUAACCCUAGCCUCCACUGUUUAGAGCCGUUUUCCCCAAACCCUAGCCAACUUCUUNGCCUUGGAAAGCUCAUUUUGGCAAAAGAAAAGCUAGAAGAAGAAAGGAGAAGUUGUCAAAGAAGGAAAGGAACGAUUGGAGCUUGUAGAUCUGAAGAGAUAUCAUCCUUUGGAGCUUAUUUGAGGUAUAAAGCUUCUUGCUUGCCAUUUAUUUUGCAUAGAUCUAAGUGUUGUGAAGUUUUAGCAUCUUUCUUGUCCCAAAGUUCUCAUCUUGAUUCAUGCUUUGUGUUGGCCGAGAUUAUCUGUCCUUUCAGACCUUUGGAGAGGUCUUGAGUGAGAAAAAUGAGGUCCCAAGGGCUGUAGUUGUUCCAUGUGUGAGAUAUAUAGGUCUUAAUGGAUUAAGACCUUAGAUUAAGAGCUUUUGGACGUCCCAAGUGAUAAAGUUUGAGACUUUAUGAAUCUUAGGCGUAUUUAGCCUAGGGAUCUGAAGUUUGGGCUUAAGAGCUUAAGCCAUUAAGAGGUUAUAAGGACUUUAUGAGUAGCGAAGUUACGCCCCGCGUAGCGGGUCAGGGCCCCGAUCCUCAGCUGCGUUUUAGUGUGUACGCCCCGCGUACCAAGGAGGGUACGCCCAGCGUACUCCCCCUGAUUGGACCUUAAUAUUGGGCCUUAGAGUUUGGGCCGUUUGUGGGUAGUUGGUUUAUGGGCCAAGUCUGGAAAUUAUGGAUAGAGUGUUUUGGGCCCAAUUAUUGUUAUGGACCUUGGAUCUAGGCCCAUUUGGUGAGGUGGGCCCAAUUUGGUAAAUUGGGCCAAUAUUGGACUUUGUAUAAGAUUUGGACUUUGGCCUUGGCCCGAUAAGUGGAUGUAUGCUUGGCCUAAUGUUUAUUUUGUUAUGAUGGCUAGUUCGGGAUUUGCGGUGAGUUGGUGAUUCGAGAAUCUGCUCUUCAGUUCAGAGUUUCGGCAGUGCGAGGUGAGUUAUCCUCACUAUAUCGACAGGGUCUAAGGCACCAAGGCCGGCCCUUUAUCGGAUUGAGAUCCGGGUAUUUGUUGUUAUGUUAUUGCUUUGAUAUGUUUGCAUCCUGGUAGCUAGGAUGGUAUAUGUUAGAGACCUGGUUAAGGUCGGUUCCCUGAUAUGUAGGGUGAUGCUAUGCUAGUGACCGGUUAGGUCGGUAUCCUGGUUAGGAUGAUGAUAUGUUAUGUGAUCUGUUUGAUCGGCUUGUUGACUGUGAAUUCUUAUAUGAUUGUAUGUUUAUGUGCACAUGGUUGUUUGGACUGGAGUUGGGUUGAGGCGGGUCCUGCUUUGUGCUGUAGGCCAAGAUACCCAGGGCGGACCGGUUGUCCCGAAGGCCCAGCGAGCGGUCCGGAUAGGCUGUAGGCCCCAAGAGGGCGGACCAGACAUGCCGAGGCUCGGAGAGUGGACCAGGCCGACUGAAGGCCCGGUGCGGGCGGACCAGUCAUACUGUAGACUCAGAGAGUGGACCAGGUGGAUUGAAGGCCCGGUGCGGGCGGACCAAUCACACUGUAGACUCGAUGUAUAUGGCUAGACUCGGAGGGUGGACCAGGUGGACUGUUGGCCGGUGCGGCGGACCAGUCACACAGUAGACCCGAAGUGCAUGGCUGUUCUGUGAUCGGAUAUGUUAUGGCAUGUUAUGCGUGUAUGGUAUAUGUGGUUGGUAUUUUGGGGAUAUCUCACUAAGCUUUCGGGCUUACAGUUGUGGUUUUAUGUUUUUCAGGUUCUUCAGGAGACCGUGGCAAGGCGAAGGCGUGAUCGUACCGCUCCUCAUGUUUAUGUUGUGAUGUGAUUCUGGGAAUACUCUAAAUAAAUUGUAUUGAAAACCUUUUUGUAAUAAUUUAAUGAAAUCGGGUUGUUUUUGAAAAGUUUAAAUUGGUUGGAAUUUUUCGGUCGUUACAAGUUGGUAUCAGAGCCUUGGUUUGAGUGAAUUGGAGGAACACUCGUGUGACUCCAGUCUCAAAUCGAGGAGAGUUUUCAAAAGAGAAUUUAAAAUGGUUUUCAAAAUGAGUAAAGGAGGACGCGGAGGUACGAUCAGCCGGAGCCAGUAAGUAACCCCAAAAUACCAUACAUGAUAUUUGUUUUUGAGCUUUGAUAGAACAGCAUGCUAGUGCUAGGCUAGGGAUCUUCAGGAUUUCAUGAUAAUGUUGCCUGAUUUAUGAUGCCUGUUAGCCUAGGGUUUCCUUGUGGGAGAUUUCCAGUGUUCCUCUAGUAGUGAGGGUUGAGCGCUUGUUUUGUAUGUUUUCACUAGGGUGUUGUGGUAGUACUUCAUACAAAUAUGGGUAGGUGUGGAAGGUAGUAUGGGCCCGUACUACUGAAAGCACAGGACCCAUACGCGUAUCAGGGAAACCAUGACCUCUAGGGUUGGGUUGAGAGUUGGUUCCCGGGUUAGUGGGAAGUGUCUGAGAUUUUGUGGUGUUUUUCAGUAUGGAGAUUCCGAGGCAUGCUGGGAGUGGAUCCGGGUCAGGAUCGGGAGCAGGAGAGGGAGUUCCGGGCGGGUCAGUACCGCCCGAGGUUAUUGGUCAGAUGAGCACGUGCGAGUUGGAUGCGAGGAUUCGUGAGAUCCUGCAUGAUGAGGUUGCUGCGUUGUUCCGGGCUGAGUUGCCGGAACUGUUUGGGUCGAUCAAGACCGCCAUGGUUGAGUAUUUUGAUGAGCGCUAUGCAGCUCUCACAGAGACGGCUGUCGCGGCGGCUACAACGGCUGUAGCAGCGGCAGGGGGAGGAGCUGGUCGGGGUUUUCAGUAUCGGGACUUCGAUAAUACGAAGCCUCCCACCUUUGAUGGAGUUCAGGACCCGAUUGUUGCUAUGAGAUGGUUAUCGGACGUGGAGGGGUGUUUCUUCACGUGUUCAUGCCCUGCUGAUCAGAGGGUGAGGUGUGCUCUGAACCUGUUGAGGCUCGGGGCGAAGGAUUGGUGGAGAUUGACCACGGGGUCAUAUUCGGAUGCGCAGAGGGCUGCGGUUUCAUGGGAUCAGUUCAGAGAGAUGUUCAGCACUCGUUAUGUUCCGCGGGUUGAGAGAGAAAGAUUGGCUCAUGAAUUCCUUGAGCUGAAGAAGGACUCGGAGUCGGCNAGAUCACCAGGAUGUUCACUGAGAGGGCGAUGUUUUGCCCAGAGUUUGCUUCGGAGCAGGCUCAGAUGUCUCGAUAUCUGAGCAUGCUCAAGAGGGACAUCAGACCGUUUGUCUCUGCUCAGAGGUGCGGGACCUUGCUGGAGUAGCAGGAGGCCGCCAGGCGGCGUGAGUUAGAGAUUGAGUUGCAGUUGCGUGAGCUGAGGCAGGCUCCGGUGCAGUCGCAUCCGGCGCCAAAACGGUCCAAGACCGUUGAUUCUAGGGUGGGAGAUCAGAGUAGCCACACUUGUGGGAACUGUGGGAGGAGUCACACUGAAGUUUGUAGGUCCGGUGGUGCGUGUCGCAAGUGCGGAAAGGAGGGGCAUUAUGCGAGGGAUUGUCGGCAGUCAGCGCCGGUUCGGGAUUUGAGGAUUUGUUAUCAUUGUCAUCAGGUUGGACAUUUGAGGGUCAACUGUCCACAGCUUGCUGCAGGACCGGUGCAGGCUCCAGCACCGGCCACUUUGAGGAUCACGGGUGGAGGUCAGGGUGGAGCGGAGCCCCCAAGGGCUCAGGGUCGUGCUUUUCAGCUUGCAGCAGAGGAGGUCAGAGCAGUGCCGGAUGCAGCUGCGGGUAUGUUUCUUUCUUGAUGUCUUGUUAUCUUGUGAUUAUUGUGGAGUAGUGUUUAUCUGCUAGUCUCAUUAUGUGAUUUUCGGUGUGGUAUUUGUUGUUCUUCGAGGGUUAUGGUUUGGUUAUGGAUUGGUGUUGGGAAUUUCGUUGGUUAUCAUUCAUGGGGGUUAUUAGUGGAAAUCUGGCAUCUGAUUUGAGGGAUGGGUAGCAUGUGCAUUCUAAGGAGAAGUUAGCUGCAGAUCGAGUUUCUUUUGAGCUCGGUCCGAUCAGCGUUGAUAUGUGUUUUGUGAAGGUUGUUUGCGCUUGCGGGACGCGGUUCGCGUGUAAGUGAUUGUGUUGUGUAAGGUUGUUGAGGGAGGUCGAUGUUGGCAAUCGGUGAUUGAUAGUCAGUGCUAUAAGUGGGGGAGAAUUGGAGAAUUCUCCGGAAGAUCGAUGAGCAUUGGAGGUUGUUUAGCUUCUUGGGAUUCAGCAGUGUUCUACCAGCCAAGAGGGUAGACUGGUAUGAGUAAGUGGCAGGCAUGCGGGGCGGGAUACAGACCUAGGGCAUUUGAUUGUGGAGGGCCUGGGAUCUGGCCAGGAUUGAGUAUGUAUGAUGGAGAUAGAGUUCGGAACCCCUAGAGGGCUAGAACAAUAUGCAUGGGAGGGUUUCCCAGAGAGAUAACUCGUAAUGAUGGAUGCUAGUUGAGCGGACCGGAUAGACUGAAGGCCGGUAGGCGUACCAGUCAGGCCGAAGGCUCAGAGAACGGUCCAGAUUGGCUGAAGGUUCUGAGAGUGGUCCAAAUUGGCUGAAGGCCUGGUAAGGCGGUCCAGUCAUGCUGAAGACUCUGCAGGUAUUGUUAGAUCGGUUCGAGGAAAUGGAUUGAGUAUGUCGCAAUAUGUUAGCAUUGGAAGGUCUGGCCCCGGGUAUUGAUCUCGAUUAGUGGAGAUGGUGCAUGGACUCGAGAGUCCUUGCGAGCAGAUUCAGAGCAUGUGUGUUGCAUGGAUAGCGGUUAUGCUAUAAGGGAGUGGUGUAGCAUCGGGCGAGCACCAUGGCACUUGUCGUAGUGACGAGGCAGCCAAGUAGAUUUCCUUGGUANGAGUGUAAGUUCACGGAAGUGAAAGUAGCAGCGCAGAGUUAUGAUUGGAGUAGUCCAAUUAUGGUCAUUGAGCAGCAUGAUUGCGGCAGUGGUAUGGGAUCACAUCCGGGUUGGAUGGUUACUAAUGCUUGACAGGAAUGCAUGGAUGGAAUCUCGGAUUUCCAGUUAGACUUUGUUUUAUGUGAUGGAAAUUCAUCCGGAAGGAUGUUUGGAAGUGUCAUCAGUGUAUCAGGUUUUUCCUAACCCGAGGACACCAGGGCCAGUUCAGUGUGGUUAUGAGAUUGCGGUGGAGAACUCGUGGGAGUUGCUCUGAGGCUGAAGCAUGUGUCAUCCUGUCAGCAAGAAAGGUAAAGUUGGGUUUCGGAUCUCGAUGGUCGACUCUUGAGGAACCUGGUCCGGUGAAUGCCAGGUGGUGCAUUGUGGGGGUAGUUCUGGAGUAGAGUUGUCGCAAGCUUCGAGGGCGAAGCCUAAUUUAAGUGGGUAGAAUUGUAACACCCCGUUCUUAAAGUAUUUAAUUAUGAGUCCCUGAGAUUUAAGAGGAAGGGUAAUUCUGGUUCUUUUUCGGGAAAUGGGUUUUAUCCAAGAAGGUUUCGGAUUGGUGUAUGUUGAUAGAAGCAUAGGGUUUCUCAUCACCCUCAUGUGAAUGUAAAGUCUAUUGGGAGCGGGUUUAGAGUAGAGGAGUUGCGGCAUAUUGGAAAUGAUAUUGUUUAUAGCUCUUUGUGGAAAAAGUGGAAAAGGUCCCAUGCAUGCAUGGCAUGCAUGCUUGAAGUUGGCUGGGUACGCCCAGCGUAAGCUGGACGUACGCUCAGCGUAAUGGAGGAAAGAAAUGCGAGGUGGAAAGGUGAGUACGCCCAACGUACUCUUAGAAACCCCAAACCCUAAAAUUAGGGUCAGCCAUUAUAUAAGGAACAUGUUGGUGCAUACCCU